ACCUUCGUGGUGUAGUGGUAAGCACACUCGGCGCGUAUUCGAGAGGUCCAUGGUUCGAGUCCCAGCGAGGGCA
This 73-nucleotide transfer RNA is filed under the name Stegodyphus mimosarum. It matches the Rfam family "tRNA". From Rfam's summary of the family: Transfer RNA (tRNA) molecules are approximately 80 nucleotides in length. The record is from Rfam by way of RNAcentral. Lineage: Eukaryota; Metazoa; Arthropoda; Arachnida; Araneae; Eresidae.